GUUGUCGUCAGCUCGUGUCGUGAGAUGUUGGGUUAAGUCCCGCAACGAGCGCAACCCUUAAGCUUAGUUGCCAUCAUUAAGUUGGGCACUCUAAGUUGACUGCCGGUGACAAACCGGAGGAAGGUGGGGAUGACGUCAAAUCAUCAUGCCCCUUAUGAUUUGGGCUACACACGUGCUACAAUGGACAAUACAAAGGGCAGCGAAACCGCGAGGUCAAGCAAAUCCCAUAAAGUUGUUCUCAGUUCGGAUUGUAGUCUGCAACUCGACUACAUGAAGCUGGAAUCGCUAGUAAUCGUAGAUCAGC
RNAcentral lists this ribosomal RNA (304 nucleotides) under Staphylococcus aureus. RNAcentral's name for it is "bacterial SSU rRNA". It matches the Rfam family "Bacterial small subunit ribosomal RNA", at positions 1048 to 1353 of the family's 1533-position model. Lineage: Bacteria; Bacillati; Bacillota; Bacilli; Caryophanales; Staphylococcaceae. The record is from RNAcentral.